GUGAGUCUUAUUCAUUACAUUUAGUUAUUGCUUGCUUUUCUAAAAGUCUAUCAACCUUUUCCAGCAGAUAUGCCAGCAAAGAUAUUCAGACAGUCUAGCUACUCUAAUUUGAUUGAUAGCCUGCAAUGGCUUCUGGGUAAUAGUGACUAGUAGUAUUACAGAGAAACAGGACAAAUCUGAGGGGGGCACGUGCCCCUUUGCCCCCUUUGAGCAUGAUGCAUCUUAUUGUGAUUAUAAUAUGUGACUAAAAACAGCCUAGGCUUUAUUUUAUGGUGAUGUGUACCCCCCCCCCCAUGUACUUAGCCAUUAGACGUGUGUUAUUAUAGCGCCUCAUACAGCGCCGCCGCCUGCUAAAAUGUUGCUAGAUUUCACCUGGCUUGCCUCUUGCUUCUGCUACCGCUGGCUGUCUGACUGAGAACAUUAAACCACCAGCAUCAUGAAGUAGAGGAAGAACAACGAUGUAGAGGAAGAACAACGAUGUGGAGGAAGAACAACGAUGUGGAGGAAGAACAACGAUGUGGAGGAAGAACAACGAUGUGGAGGAAGAACAACGAUGUGGAGGAAGAACAACGAUGUGGAGGAAGAACAACGAUGUGGAGGAAGAACAACGAUGUAGAGGAAGAACAACGAUGUGGAGGAAGAACAACGAUGUGGAGGAAGAACAACGAUGUGGAGGAAGAACAACGAUGUGGAGGAAGAACAACGAUGUGGAGGAAGAACAACGAUGUGGAGGAAGAACAACGAUGUGGAGGAAGAACAACGAUGUAGAGGAAGAACAACGAUGUGGAGGAAGCUGCAGUCUAACCCUUUAGUGAUAACUGUGACUGUUCAUAGCAACAGGUGUUGUUUGGUAUUUGAUACCUGUGACUGUUCAUAGCAACAGGUGUUGUUUGGUAUUUGAUACCUGUGACUGUUCAUAGAAACAGGUGUUGUUUGGUAUUUGAUACCUGUGACUGUUCAUAGAAACAGGUGUUGUUUGGUAUUUGAUACCUGUGACUGUUCAUAGCAACAAGUGUUGUUUGGUAUUUUAUAACUGUGACUGUUCAUAGCAACAAGUGUUGUUUGGUAUUUUACAACUGUGACUGUUCUGUGACUGUUCAGGAGCAGACAGACAGAACCUGUGCAGUCCCUUUCUCUCUAACCCAGGGCUUGGUUUGACAGAGGCAGAAACUCAAAUAGGAAGUACCCGUGCAAAGGACUAUUCAACGCUGGUCUGACCAAUCGGGAAUGGAUGCUUCAUGAUUGUUUUGAUGUGCAGUUACUCGGUACUCGGCAAACUACCUGCCCUCCAGGACACCUACAGCACCCGAUGUCACAGAAAGGCCAAAAAGAUCAUCAAGGACAACAACCACCCGAGCCACUGCCUGUUCACCCCGUUAUCAUCCAGAAGGCGAGCUGCUGCUUUGCCAAGUCACGCUACCGCCGGCCGUACCGGCUACUGAGGAAGAUCUGUCAGUUGAUCCCCACCGUUCCGGCCUGCCUACUGGAGAUCAGCCCUGUAGCCCACCGCCUGGCCACCGUACCCUGGGACAGAACCCUGUACUACCCCUCUACGCCCUGCAGGUGGCACAGAGAGAGAGAGAGAGAGAGAGAGAGAGAGAGAGAGAGAGAGAGAGAGAGAGAGAGAGAGAGAGAGAGAGAGGGGGUAAAGGUCAUAAUGGCUCCAGUAGAUGUGGUAGACUGGUCUCUGGCCUCGUCCUCUUCAUCCCCUGAGGUCUGCUUCAUCUCUCUCAUCCUCUUCCUCAUCCUCACCAUCACACUCCUCACUGUAUGUAUAAACUGCCGCAGGCUCCCAUUUAGCCACAGCUCACACCUUACCUUCAUGGAGGGACCAUAAGAACAUGCCUGAGAGCACACUUCCCUCGACCCUCGCCCGCAGCCGGACACUCCCCUUGGCCCCCGCCCAC
This 1907-nucleotide long non-coding RNA is filed under the name Salmo salar (Atlantic salmon). RNAcentral describes it as "lncRNA (ENSSSAG00000119927.1)". The record is from RNAcentral. Lineage: Eukaryota; Metazoa; Chordata; Actinopteri; Salmoniformes; Salmonidae.